CGAGAAGCAUGGCUAGUAUCUUUGCUGGAGGUUGUUGAUAUCAGGCUGAUUGGCGAGUGCAAAUGGCCGAAGAUUUAGACUGAAAACUAAAAAAAAAAAACCGUGCUUCAUCGAUGCCCGGCGCUGUCGGGGAGAAAUUUCUCCACCAUACAAGGAUCGGUCAAUCCGUCCGACUCCGCCGUGUCCUUGGAUGCCGGAACUCGAGCUUAACCCCGUCCUUCUUUGGACUUUUGCCCAAUCAACCUGCAUAGAUUACCGAAGCAUGGAGCUAAAGUUACCCGUUCGUUUCUCGAAGGGGAAGAAAAGAUUAAUUAGGGAUUGAGGAGUUGCUCAGUCAAUACACUGCAUUACAGAGGUAAAAAAUAACCAGCACCCGAAGAUGGGACACAUAGCACCUACUUAAAAUAAUACGAUAUCGCGGAUGCUGGACGCUGAACAUACUGAGGGGUGAGCUGACCGGUAUCAUGAAAUUCUCUACUCUAGAUAACGUUAGUCUCUUUGAGGAUUCCAGCAUCUGAAAAUAUCUGUGAUCAUUACAAUAACGUGCCAAAUCAUUGAGUGUACCAACAAAGAGGCAUCUCCAUAUAAAUUGCAGGCUUCUAUUACAAUGAAUAGUUAAAAAAAAAUGAACUCCUAACCCAUCAGCUAAAAUAAAAGAUCACACACUAGAGCAGCUGACAAGCUUUCAGGAGCCUGCAGCCCAGGCACAGUUCAGCCCCCUUGAAGAUCUAUACAUCAGAGGCCCAAGGUGCAUG
RNAcentral lists this small RNA (755 nucleotides) under Histoplasma capsulatum var. duboisii H88. RNAcentral's name for it is "Histoplasma capsulatum H88 hypothetical RNA". The record is from RNAcentral. Lineage: Eukaryota; Fungi; Ascomycota; Eurotiomycetes; Onygenales; Ajellomycetaceae.